CUUUUUAAUUAUUCGACUUUGGACUAUGUGGUCGAUUUUCGACCGUUAGUGAACGUGACAAAUGUCUCGUGGCCGGUUUUAUCGCGAGAUUUAAAAAAAAAAAAAACUAACGUCUUUAUAUUUUUCGCAGGUUCUCAGCUAACCUUGAAAAUUACCCGGAAGAUUGUUGUGAACAUCGGACAUUGGAACCCGUCAAAUUUCCCGCCGUGUAUGUUUAUCGAUCUGGAUCGUAAGUGUUUAAUAUUAAUUACAGAUUGUUUGCCCGCACCGAAAACUCGGUAUGUC
Molecule: non-coding RNA, 285 nt
Organism: Cinara cedri
Lineage: Eukaryota; Metazoa; Arthropoda; Insecta; Hemiptera; Aphididae
Source: the annotation of a GenBank genome assembly